Molecule: ribosomal RNA, 479 nt
Filed under: uncultured organism
Description: partial 16S ribosomal RNA
Rfam family: Bacterial small subunit ribosomal RNA
Source: RNAcentral
CGUACACUCCUACGGGAGGCAGCAGUGGGGAAUAUUGCACAAUGGGCGCAAGCCUGAUGCAGCCAUGCCGCGUGUAUGAAGAAGGCCUUCGGGUUGUAAAGUACUUUCAGCGGGGAGGAAGGCGAUAAGGUUAAUAACCUUGUCGAUUGACGUUACCCGCAGAAGAAGCACCGGCUAACUCCGUGCCAGCAGCCGCGGUAAUACGGAGGGUGCAAGCGUUAAUCGGAAUUACUGGGCGUAAAGCGCACGCAGGCGGUCUGUCAAGUCGGAUGUGAAAUCCCCGGGCUCAACCUGGGAACUGCAUUCGAAACUGGCAGGCUAGAGUCUUGUAGAGGGGGGUAGAAUUCCAGGUGUAGCGGUGAAAUGCGUAGAGAUCUGGAGGAAUACCGGUGGCGAAGGCGGCCCCCUGGACAAAGACUGACGCUCAGGUGCGAAAGCGUGGGGAGCAAACAGGAUUAGAUACCCGUGUAGUCCCAUGA